CAGCAGCCGCGGUAAAACGUAGGGUGCAAGCGUUAAUCGGAAUUACUGGGCGUAAAGCGUGCGCAGGCGGUUAUAUAAGUCAGAUGUGAAAUCCCCGGGCUCAACCUGGGAACUGCAUUUGAGACUGUAUGGCUAGAGUGUGUCAGAGGGGGGUAGAAUUCCACGUGUAGCAGUGAAAUGCGUAGAUAUGUGGAGGAAUACCGAUGGCGAAGGCAGCCCCCUGGGAUAACACUGACGCUCAUGCACGAAAGCGUGGGGAGCAAACAGGAUUAGAUACCCGUGUAGUCCCUGUCUCUUAUAC
Molecule: ribosomal RNA, 301 nt
Filed under: uncultured bacterium
Lineage: Bacteria
Description: partial 16S ribosomal RNA
Rfam family: Bacterial small subunit ribosomal RNA
Source: RNAcentral